AAAUUGAAGAGUUUGAUCAUGGCUCAGAUUGAACGCUGGCGGCAGGCCUAACACAUGCAAGUCGAACGGUAACAGGAAGCAGCUUGCUGCUUCGCUGACGAGUGGCGGACGGGUGAGUAAUGUCUGGGAAACUGCCUGAUGGAGGGGGAUAACUACUGGAAACGGUGGCUAAUACCGCAUAACGUCGCAAGACCAAAGAGGGGGACCUUCGGGCCUCUUGCCAUCAGAUGUGCCCAGAUGGGAUUAGCUGGUUGGUGAGGUAACGGCUCACCAAGGCGACGAUCCCUAGCUGGUCUGAGAGGAUGACCAGCCACACUGGAACUGAGACACGGUCCAGACUCCUACGGGAGGCAGCAGUGGGGAAUAUUGCACAAUGGGCGCAAGCCUGAUGCAGCCAUGCCGCGUGUAUGAAGAAGGCCUUCGGGUUGUAAAGUACUUUCAGCGGGGAGGAAGGUGUUGUGGUUAAUAACUGCAGCAAUUGACGUUACCC
RNAcentral lists this ribosomal RNA (490 nucleotides) under Salmonella enterica. RNAcentral describes it as "bacterial SSU rRNA". It matches the Rfam family "Bacterial small subunit ribosomal RNA", at positions 1 to 480 of the family's 1533-position model. RNAcentral also lists the same sequence under 1 other name. Lineage: Bacteria; Pseudomonadati; Pseudomonadota; Gammaproteobacteria; Enterobacterales; Enterobacteriaceae. The record is from RNAcentral.